UACGUAGAGGGCUAGCGUUGUCCGGAUUUAUUGGGCGUAAAGAGCGUGUAGGCGGCCAGGUAGGUCUGCUGUGAAAACUCGAGGCUCAACCUCGAGACGUCGGCGGAAACCAUCUGGCUAGAGUCCGGAAGAGGAGAGUGGAAUUCCUGGUGUAGCGGUGAAAUGCGCAGAUAUCAGGAAGAACACCAACGGCGAAGGCAGCUCGCUGGGACGGUACUGACGCUGAGACGCGAAAGCGUGGGGAGCGAACAGG
RNAcentral lists this ribosomal RNA (253 nucleotides) under uncultured bacterium. Its description in RNAcentral is "partial 16S ribosomal RNA". It matches the Rfam family "Bacterial small subunit ribosomal RNA", at positions 524 to 776 of the family's 1533-position model. The record is from RNAcentral.